This is a long non-coding RNA of Pelmatolapia mariae (spotted tilapia), 134 nucleotides long. RefSeq lists it as uncharacterized. NCBI's taxonomy places the organism in Eukaryota, Metazoa, Chordata, Actinopteri, Cichliformes, Cichlidae. The transcript is spliced from 3 exons. The record is from RefSeq and is a predicted model, not a curated record.
CCCAGAGAAAUGAGAAAGGAGGAGGCAGUGAGAUGGAUGAAGGUGGAAGUUCUGAGCAUUUCUCCUAUCAAAAGAGACCGGAGCACACCAGUGAAGAGAGUUCAGAUGUAGAUGAAGAGAGCAAGGAAGCAAGA